CAGGACUAUAUUCACUUUUUCUUUUAUGGCUUACCUGAGGGUUUUUACCUUCUGCCCCCAAGGAAGUUCAGCCUCUCUUCCUUGGGAAGCUUCAGUAUCCGGCCCUGUGCAAAGGUGUCCCCCUGAAGAUACCCCCUUAGUGACCGGGGGUUCUACUUGCAGUGACCCUAGGGGUAGCAAGAGAAAAAAUGCCAAAUAAAUCUGAUUCCCUGCAGUGACCAAGAGGUAGCAGGAAGUGGCGAGAAGACCUUAUCCUGGAUGGAUUUCUACAUAUGGAAGUACACCCCACAUGUAUGUAUGUACAAAUACUUUAUACAUAUAUUCUGUAUAUGUGGGUUUCUCCCCCCCCACCCACCUAUGAUUUCUUUUUACCUUGCUUCAAUCUUUUACAUGCCUUCUCGUGCAAGCUAUGUCCACGCGCACGCCAAAAUCGGCGCUUGGGUUCCGGCUGCUGUGGGAGUGCCUCCUGAUCGGAGGAUGCUUCCGGGUUUUUGCCGCGCAUGCGCAGUUAGCGAGCGGUGAAAUCGCUCGUUCUGAGCAUGCACGGAUAGGCGGUGACGUCACAUAUGACGUCACACGCCUAUUUAAGCGCCAAAAGUGUAUAAAUAGGUUACCUUAGGAUCUCAUUAGGUCUGUAGAGAACCUGUUUCAUACAAUUUUCUACUUUGAAUAGCAUUUAAUUAUUGCAAGAAAUAUUUAAAGGUAAGUUUUUCUUCUUAAAGGUAUAUACACAUUUUUUCAAUUUUUACAUUUUUCUUCUUCCUUUCUUUCUAUAACAAUAAAAUUACUUUUCUAGACUGUUCGGAAUCAUCUCCAAAAUGGAGAAAGACAAAAGGAGAUCAAUUUCUUCUGAUUCGGAC
Molecule: non-coding RNA, 860 nt
Organism: Pelobates cultripes (western spadefoot toad)
Lineage: Eukaryota; Metazoa; Chordata; Amphibia; Anura; Pelobatidae
Source: the annotation of a GenBank genome assembly